Diabrotica virgifera virgifera (western corn rootworm) is the source of this 908-nucleotide long non-coding RNA. RefSeq lists it as uncharacterized. The record is from RefSeq and is a predicted model, not a curated record. NCBI's taxonomy places the organism in Eukaryota, Metazoa, Arthropoda, Insecta, Coleoptera, Chrysomelidae. The transcript is spliced from 2 exons.
AACAAAGGAACAAUUGAACAAACAAAAAAGAAACAUAAUAGGUCUGUUCCUUUGUUUUUUAGUGUUACACUUUUGAGUGUAAGUGUACGAAAUUCUAUGGACAUUUGAGUGUAAAAUGACAGCGGAUGUGACAGCGGCUCAUGACAGCGGACAGUAUUAAACGAAAAUUAUCGGUGUGCCAAUCAAGCAAAGGGACAAGGAACUUCCGAAUAUGGCCUAACUGGGGGCACAUAACAUAACAUAACCUAAUCCUAAUAUUUACAUUUGUAAAGAAUAUCCUGUUUGUUUUUAUUGUCGAUUGUGCAGCAAAUCAAAUAUAAAGUAGUUUAUCGCCUACAGAACUGAAUUAGUCCAUAGCAGUUAUCAGUUUUUCUUUCUUGGGAAGCUUAUACAUGUAACUUGUAUUGUUGUAAAUUGUGGGAGUAGGGCAGACAGGGAAAAGUCUUAUUUUGUACUGUUCCCAAGGCUCCCCAUGCAAUACAUUUAAAUGAAUUAUCCAAACAAAGCUGGGGACAAUGGAUAAAAGCCACAAGAAGAACAGAUAUAAGGGAACUAAAAUUAAAAUAUGAAAAGUAAACAUUUUAUAAGUGGAACAACCACCAGAUAUUUAAAAGGUAUAAAAAGAAGAAACUGCUGGAAUUUCAAAACAAAUGUGUUUGACUAGUAAAGAUUUGGAUAAAUAACAGGAGUUACUUUGGGCUAUAGCUAAGUGCAGAUUUAUUUCCUUGUGGCUUCCUAUGUUAAUUCUUAUUAAUUAUACACUUAAAUAUGUUUUUAGUCUCAGGAAGAUUUUAUAUUUGAUUAUUUUUGAAUAAACAUUAUUAUUAUUAUUACCUUAAUUUCCAUUAAAUAAAUUAACUGUAAUCAAUAAAGUAAUCGUUUAAUUGUUAAUAAAUUAUCAAGUAUGA